Molecule: long non-coding RNA, 2295 nt
Filed under: Citrus x clementina
Lineage: Eukaryota; Viridiplantae; Streptophyta; Magnoliopsida; Sapindales; Rutaceae
Description: Citrus clementina (C. clementina) long non-coding RNA (CCLE_LNC005007)
Source: RNAcentral
AAGUCGCGGGCACAGCCGCGCCCAAAAAUAAGCACCCGAAGGUCGUGGUGCCAAAACCCCCCAGCGGAAAAAUGGCCAAAAAACGGGUGGGCUAUAGCCUUGGUGGGGGGCGCGGGCGAAGUUCGUCCGCCGGACUCGGAAUGGGGCGAGAUUUUGCGAGGGGCCUCGGGGUGCCUGCGGGAAGUCGCGGGCACAACCGCGCCCAAAAAUAAGCACCCGAAGGUCGUGGUGCGAAAACCCCCCAGCGGAAAAAUGGCCAAAAAACGGGUUGGCUAUAGCCUUGGUGGGGGGCGCGGACGAAGUUCGUCCGCCGGACUCGGAAUGGGGCGAGACUUUGCGAGGGGCCUCGGGGUGCCAAAAAUAAGCCGCGGGCAAAGCCGCGCCCAAAAAUAAGCGCCCGAAGGUCGUGGUGCCAAAACCCCCGAGGGAAAAAUGCCCAAAAAAUGGGUGGGUUAUAGCCUUGGUGGGGGGCGCGGGCGAAGUUCGUCCGCCGGACUCGGAAUGCGGCGAGACUUUGCGAGGGGCAUCGGCGUGCCCGCGGGAAGUCGCGGGCACAGCCGUGCCCAAAAAUAAGCACCCGAAGGUCGUGGUGCCAAAACCCCCGAGCGGAAAAAUGGCCAAAAAACGGGUGGGCUAUAGCCUUGGUGGGGGGCGUGGGCGAAGUUCGUCCGCCGGACUCGGAAUGGGGCGAGAAUUUGCGAGGGGCCUCGGGGUGCCAAAAAUAAGCCGCGGCCAAAGCCGCGCCCAAAAAUAAGCUCCCGAAGGUCGUGGUGCCAAAACCCCCCAGCGGAAAAAUGGCCAAAAAACGGGUGGGCUAUAGCCUUGGUGGGGGGCGCGGGCGAAGUUCGUCCGCCGGACUCGGAAUGGGGCGAGACUUUGCGAGGGGCCUCGGGGUGCCCGCGGGAAGUCGCGGGCACAGCCGCGCCCAAAAAUAAGCACCCGAAGGUCGUGGUGCCAAAACCCCCCAGCGGAAAAAUGGCCAAAAAAUGGGUGGGCUAUAGCCUUGGUGGGGGGCGCGGGCGAAGUUCGUCCGCCGGACUCGGAAUGGGGCGAGACUUUGCGAGGGGCCUCGGGGUGCCUGCGGGAAGUCGCGGGCACAGACGCGCCCAAAAAUAAGCACCCGAAGGUCGUGGUGCCAAAACACCCCAGCGGAAAAAUGGCCAAAAAACUGGUUGGCUAUAGCCUUGGUGGGGGGCGCGGACGAAGUUCGUCCGCCGGACUCGGAAUGGGGCGAGACUUUGCGAGGGGCCUCGGGGUGCCAAAAAUAAGCCGCGGGCAAAGCCGCGCCCAAAAAUAAGCGCCCGAAGGUCGUGUUGCGAAAACCCCCGAGGGAAAAAUGNNNNNNNNNNNNNNNNNNNNNNNNNNNNNNNNNNNNNNNNNNNNNNNNNNNNNNNNNNNNNNNNNNNNNNNNNNNNNNNNNNNNNNNNNNNNNNNNNNNNNNGCGGGAAGUCGUGGGCACAGCCACGGCCAAAAAUAAGCGCCCCGAAGGUCGUGGUGCCAAAACCCCCCGAGCGGAAAAAUGGCCAAAAAAACGGGUGGGCUAUAGCCUUGGUGGGGGGCGCGGGCGAAGUUCGUCCGCCGGACUCGGAAUGGGGCGAGAAUUUGCGAGGGGUUUCGGGGUGCCAACAAUAAGCCGCGGGCAAAGCCGCGCCCAAAAAUAAGCUCCCGAAGGUCGUGGUGCCAAAACCCCCCAGCGGAAAAAUGGCCAAAAAACGGGUGGGCUAUAGCCUUGGUGGGGGGCGCGGGCGAAGUUCGUCCGCCGGACUCGGAAUGGGGCGAGACUUUGCGAGGGCCCUCGGGGUGCCCGCUGGAAGUCGCGGGCACAGCCGCGCCCAAAAAUAAGCACCCGAAGGUCGUGGUGCCAAAACCCACCAGCGGAAAAAUGGCCAAAAAACGGGUGGGCUAUAGCCUUGGUGGGGGGCGCGGGCGAAGUUCGUCCGCCGGACUCGGAAUGGGGCGAGACUUUGCGAGGGGCCUCGGGAUGCCAAAAAUAAGCCGCGGGCAAAGUCGCGCCCAAAAAUAAACGACCGAAGGUCGUGGUGCCAAAACCCCCCAGCGGAAAAAUGGCCAAAAAACGGGUGGGCUAUAGCCUUGGUGGGGGGCGCGGGCGAAGUUCGUCCGCCGGACUCGGAAUGGGGCGAGACUUUGAGAGGGGCCUCGGGGUGCCCGCGGGAAGUCGCGCGCACAGCCACGUCCAAAAAUAAGCACCCGAAGGUCGUGGUGCCAAAACCCCCCAGCGGAAAAAUGGCCAAAAAAUGGGUGGGCUAUAGCCUUGGUGGGGGGCGCGGGCGAAGU